AGGGAGUUAAUCUAAUUAAAGACUACUAAUUUCGACUUAGUAAAUUGUGAUUAACUAUCACAACCCCCUU
Molecule: transfer RNA, 70 nt
Filed under: Grandisonia sechellensis
Lineage: Eukaryota; Metazoa; Chordata; Amphibia; Gymnophiona; Indotyphlidae
Description: tRNA-Arg
Source: RNAcentral